This is a long non-coding RNA of Callorhinchus milii (elephant shark), 651 nucleotides long. RefSeq lists it as uncharacterized. The record is from RefSeq and is a predicted model, not a curated record. The transcript has 7 exons. Lineage: Eukaryota; Metazoa; Chordata; Chondrichthyes; Chimaeriformes; Callorhinchidae.
CGGAGGACUCACAAUGAGCCGAACUGGGGAGCGAGUCAUCGCGGGACAGUGUAGUGCAGACCGGAGGACUCACAAUGAGCCGAACUGGGGAGAGAGUCAUCGCGGGACAGUGUAGUGCAGACCGGAAGACUCACAAUGAGCCGAACUGGGGAGCGAGUCAUCGCGGGACAGUGUAGUGCAGACCGGAAGACUCACAAUGAGCCGAACUGGGGAGCGAGUCAUCGCGGGACAGUGUAGUGCAGACCGGAGGACUCACAAUGAGCCGAACUGGGGAGAGAGUCAUCGCGGGACAGUGUAGUGCAGACCUGCCGCAGUCUUCCGCUGCCAGCGAGCAGCGCAGCUCAGCUCAGCUCAGCUCAGCCCCAGCACCGGGAAGCCUCUCUUCAACAGCUCAAGCCCUAGGCCGUCGGUGCCUCCGAAGCUCCGGGUCAGGUCCCGUCUCCCGACGCGGAUGGCGGGGAAUCGAAUGGAAGGCGUUGGUUUGAAGACGGGUUCAGUCGCCGGGACCCCGGACAGGCAAGUCGCUCGUGCCGCGGCGGGGGGUGGCGGCGCGGGAGACAAAACGCACCACCGCCGGUCCACCUGUCGCGUCCGCAAGCGCUUCGACGCCCCCGCAACGAAGCUCCUCGGGAACGCCAAGCGCGGAGGGAG